CGAGGCGGGGUGGGGAGGGGGGAGGGGCCGCGGGAACGGAUGGCGGCCUGGGCCCCGUAGCAGCGGCGGCUCUACGGCCCGGGGCCCGGGCGGGCGGAGGUGGCGGCUCCCGGGACCGGUCGCGCGCAAUGAUGUUGUCCACUGGGCAUGUACUGACCAAUGUGGCAGGUCUGAGAACAUAGCUGAAGCUGAAAAUAGGAAAGCUGGGGGCAAGGAAGAGCCUUGAAUCUUGAGGUGGGACGUUGACUCUAAGAUGUCCUUGAGCAGUGGAGCCUCCGGAGGGAAAGGAGUGGAUGCAAACCCGGUUGAGACAUACGACAGUGGGGAUGAAUGGGACAUUGGAGUAGGGAAUCUCAUCAUUGACCUGGACGCCGAUCUGGAAAAGGACCAGCAGAAACUGGAAAUGUCAGGCUCAAAGGAGGUGGGGAUACCAGCUCCCAAUGCUGUGGCCACACUACCAGACAACAUCAAGUUUGUGACCCCAGUGCCAGGUCCUCAAGGGAAGGAAGGCAAAUCAAAAUCCAAAAGGAAUAAGAGUGGCAAAGACACUAGCAAACCCACUCCAGGGACAUCCCUGUUCACUCCAAGUGAGGGGGCAGCUAGCAAGAAAGAGGUGCAGGGACGCUCAGGAGAUGGUGCCAAUGCAGGAAGCCUGGUUGCUGCUAUUGCUCCCAAGGGCUCAGAGAAGGCGGCUAAGGCAUCCCGCAGUGUAGCCGGCUCCAAAAAGGAGAAGGAGAACAGCUCAUCUAAGAGCAAGAAGGAGAGAAGCGAAGGAGUGGGGACUUGUUCAGAAAAGGAUCCUGGGGUCCUCCAGCCAGUACCCUUGGGAGGACGGGGUGGUCAGUAUGAUGGAAGUGCAGGGGUGGAUGCAGGAGCUGUGGAGCCACUUGGGAGUAUAGCUAUUGAGCCUGGGGCAGCGCUCAAUCCUUUGGGAGCUAAACCGGAGCCUGAGGAAGGGGAGAAUGAGUGUCGCCCGCUAAAGAAAGUCAAGUCUGAAAAGAUGGAGUCCCCCGUCUCCACACCAGCAGUGCUGCCACUGCACCUUUUGGUGCCAGUGGUCAGUAAUGACAUCUCAUCCCCCUGUGAGCAGAUCAUGGUUCGAACCCGAUCAGUUGGGGUCAACACAUGUGAUGUGGCUCUGGCCACAGAACCUGAGUGCCUGGGCCCCUGUGAACCUGGGACAAGUGUCAACCUCGAGGGCAUCGUGUGGCAGGAAACAGAAGAUGGGAUGUUGGUGGUGAAUGUAACAUGGAGGAACAAGACUUAUGUAGGUACACUUCUGGACUGCACACGGCAUGACUGGGCACCCCCCAGGUUCUGUGACUCUCCCACCAGUGACUUGGAAAUGCGCAAUGGUCGGGGUAGAGGCAAACGCAUGCGUCCCAACAGUAACACACCUGUCAACGAGACAGCUGCAGCCUCUGACAACAAAGGGACCAGUAGUAGCAGCAAAACCCGUGCAGGAGCCAAUAGCAAAGGCCGACGGGGCAGCCAGAAUUCUUCAGAACAUCGCCCACCUGCUAGUAGCACCUCUGAGGAUGUCAAGGCCAGCCCUUCCUCAGCUAAUAAGCGGAAAAACAAGCCCCUUUCAGACAUGGAACUGAAUUCUAGCUCGGAGGACUCCAAAGGGAGCAAGCGUGUGCGCACGAAUUCCAUGGGCUCAGCCACUGGCCCCCCACCUGGGACCAAGGUGGAACCCACUGUUCUGGACAGAAAUUGUCCCUCUCCAGUCCUGAUUGACUGUCCCCACCCAAACUGCAACAAAAAGUACAAGCACAUCAAUGGACUUAAGUACCACCAAGCUCAUGCCCAUACAGAUGAUGACAGCAAACCUGAAGCAGAUGGGGACAGUGAGUAUGGAGAGGAGCCCACCCUCCACACAGACCUCGGGAGCUGCAAUGGUGCAUCUGUCUCACAAAAAGGUUCCUUGUCCCCUGCCCGCUCAGCUACCCCCAAAGUUCGGCUCGUAGAGCCUCACAGCCCUUCUCCUUCCAGCAAAUUCAGCACAAAAGGCCUCUGUAAGAAAAAGUUGAGUGGGGACGGGGACACAGAUCUCGGGGCCUUAUCCAAUGAUGGUUCUGAUGAUGGACCCUCAGUAAUGGAUGAAACAAGCAAUGAUGCCUUUGAUUCUUUGGAAAGGAAGUGUAUGGAAAAAGAAAAGUGUAAAAAACCCUCUAGUUUGAAACCCGAAAAGAUUCCUUCCAAAAGUUUAAAGUCAGCCCGGCCCAUUGCCCCUGCCAUCCCCCCACAGCAAAUUUAUACCUUCCAGACGGCCACCUUCACAGCAGCAAGCCCAGGCUCCUCCUCAGGCUUGACCACCACGGUGGUCCAGGCCAUGCCCAACAGCCCCCAACUCAAGCCCAUUCAGCCCAAGCCCACUGUGAUGGGAGAACCUUUCACAGUCAACCCUGCCUUGACUCCGGCCAAGGACAAGAAAAAGAAAGACAAAAAAAAGAAGGAGUCUUCAAAGGAACUUGAAAGUCCCCUGACCCCCGGGAAGGUAUGUCGAGCAGAAGAAGGCAAAAGCCCAUUCAGGGAAUCAUCAGGAGAUGGGGUGAAGAUGGAGGGGCUUCUAAAUGGCUCCUCAGACCCCCACCAGAGCCGCCUGGCUAGCAUCAAGGCCGAAGCUGACAAGAUCUAUAGCUUCACGGACAAUGCUCCCAGCCCAUCAAUUGGAGGCAGCAGCCGCUUAGACAGCACUACCCCCACCCAGCCCAUGACUCCCUUACAUGUAGUGACCCAGAAUGGAGCCGAAGCCAGCUCAGUCAAAACCAAUAGCCCCGCUUACUCCGACAUCUCUGAUGCUGGGGAGGAUGGGGAGGGCAAAGUGGACAGUGUCAAAUCAAAGGACCCUGAACAACUGGUUAAGGAAGGAGCUAAGAAAACUCUUUUCCCUCCCCAGCCGCAGAGCAAAGACUCACCAUAUUACCAAGGCUUUGAGAGUUACUAUUCUCCAAAUUAUGCACAAUCCAGCCCAGGGGCUCUGAACCCCAGCAGCCAGGCUGGAGUGGAGAGCCAGGCCCUGAAGGCAAAAAAGGAUGAGGAGCCCGAGAGCAUGGAGGGGAAAGUGAAGAACGACGCCUGUGAGGAAAAGAAACCAGAGCUGAGCAGUUCCAGUCAGCAACCCUCCGUCAUCCAGCAACGUCCCAACAUGUACAUGCAGUCCCUGUACUACAACCAGUAUGCCUACGUGCCCCCCUACGGCUACAGCGACCAGAGCUACCACACCCAUCUGCUGAGCACGAACACAGCUUACCGGCAACAGUAUGAAGAGCAGCAGAAACGGCAGAGCUUGGAGCAGCAGCAGCGGGGACUGGACAAGAAGGCAGAAAUGGGCCUUAAAGAGCGGGAGGCAGCUCUCAAGGAAGAAUGGAAGCAAAAGCCGUCGAUCCCCCCAACUCUCACCAAGGCCCCCAGCCUGACAGACCUGGUGAAGUCAGGACCCGGCAAGGCCAAGGAGCCAGGGGCUGACCCUGCCAAAUCAGUCAUUAUUCCCAAGCUAGACGACUCUUCCAAACUCCCCAGCCAGGCCCCAGAAGGACUUAAAGUGAAGCUGAGUGAGGCCAGCCACCUAGGCAAGGAGGCCUCUGAGGCCAAGGCAGGUCCUGAGUGUGGCCGACAGGCAGAGGUGGACCCAAUACUCUGGUACCGACAGGAAGCAGAACCCCGGAUGUGGACAUAUGUUUAUCCUGCCAAGUACUCGGACAUCAAGUCAGAGGAUGAGCGGUGGAAAGAGGAGCGGGACCGCAAAUUGAAGGAAGAAAGGAGUCGGAGUAAGGACUCUGUUCCCAAGGAGGAUGGGAAGGAAAGCACAAGUAGUGACUGCAAGCUGCCCACAUCUGAGGAGUCCCGUCUCGGGAGCAAGGAGCCCCGACCAAGUGUCCACGUGCCUGUGUCCUCCCCCCUCACCCAGCACCAGUCCUACAUCCCCUACAUGCACGGCUACUCCUACGGCCAGUCCUACGACCCCAACCACCCCAGCUACCGAGGCAUGCCUGCUGUGAUGAUGCAGAACUACCCAGGUUCCUACCUGCCUUCCAGCUAUUCUUUCUCCCCAUAUGGCAGCAAGGUCUCAGGGGGUGAAGAUGCUGACAAAGCACGCUCCAGCCCCAGUGUCAGUUGUAAAUCCAGCUCAGAGUCCAAAGCCCUGGACAUCUUGCAGCAGCAUGCCAGUCAUUACAAGAGCAAGUCGCCUACGAUAAGUGAUAAAAAUUCUCAGGAGAGAGAUCGGGGAGGCUGUGGGGUGGUUGGGGGUGGUGGCAGCUGUAGCAGCGUCGGGGGAGCAGGCGGGGGUGAAAGGAGUGUUGACCGGCCCCGCACCUCGCCUUCUCAGCGCCUAAUGUCCACACACCACCACCACCACCACCUGGGGUACUCAUUGCUCCCAGCACAGUACAACUUACCCUAUGCAGCAGGUAAGCCUCAUUUCCCCAGCUUCCUUUUUUUUUUUUUUUUUCCUUCUUUUGGCCACACCUAUUGCAUGUGGAAGUUCCCAGGCCAGAGACUGAACCCACACCACAGCAGCAAGCUAAGCCACUGCAUUGACAAUGCCAGAUACUUAUUAACUUGCUGAGCCCCAAGAGAACUCCUCACCUCCUAUCUUUUCUCCUGCAUCCCAGUAGUAUUGCUCACAGCAGGGGGCCCCUGGUAAGAAUCUUCCCCCCUGUUUUUCCUUUGAGCUUCUAAUCUGUCCAGAAUCCUAGCCUCCUGCAGACAAUCAAUAAAAUAAUCAUGACAUUUAUUUCCUCCUUUGGAGCUUGGGGAUUCUCAAUGCCUCCAGAAAAUUGGCUUUGAUAUUCAGAAUAAGGAGCAAGUGUUCUCACAGCCAAAACGUAACAAGCAACUGAAAAAUAGAGCCUCGUUAUCUAUUCCCAGCCACUAUAUCUGACGAAGUAUCAGAUUUUCUUCUGUCAGCACCCCAGAACUCAGUGGGGCUAGGAAUUUAAGGAGAAACUACCCCCCACACACACCCAGUACCCACCCAGCUGGCAAGAAGGGAGGACGCUUAAGGGGAGGGUUCUGGGAGCACUCCACUAACACAUCCUCCUUCUCACUCAGGGCUUUCCUCUACAGCCAUUGUUGCCAGCCAGCAAGGCUCAACCCCUUCACUCUACCCACCCCCCCGGAGGUGAGAAUGAACACCAAGUGCCCGGAUAGUCAGCUUCACGGGCCCGGACUGGCUCACCCAAGGAGGUGCUGGAGGUGCCAUAUAGACAUCAGUUAAAUGGUGUUGAUCAUCUGUUUGCCGUUCCCACCAUGACUGAAGGCAGACCCUUGGCUAUCUCGCCUCCACGAGACCCCUGGACUCCCUGACCCUCCCUCAGGAGCUGGAGAGCUGGUACUUAGCAAAAAUAUUUAUUCUCUUGGCCACGGUCAUGACUGCUGUGGCCUCUGUGGAGAUGAAGGCACUGGGAGCAACUAGGGGAACAUGGCCUCAGCCCAGAGAAGUCACUACUCUGUUCCCCCAGUCCCUGGUCAGCUGCCAGAGCAGUAACCCCGCAUCCGCCCCCCGCCCCUGCCCAGGGAGGGAUCCCAAGCACUGGGUAAGGUCUGAAGACAGCACAGCAGCCAUACCCCUCACCAUCAUUACCACCAUCGCCAGACCCUGCAUCUCCCCAGCAGUUUGGGCCCUGGGAACUGGUAGCACGUGGAGGAAUUAGAAUCUCAGGAAAGAAACUGGGGGAUGUUUUCUCUGCAGUUGUGAAAAAGAGGUCUUCAAACAUGAAAACUUCUCCCCACUCAUGUGAGCACAUGUAAACGCUCAGAGCCCAGCCUGAAAAGGGAGACUAAGGCAUCUGGCCCACCGUGGCCUCGGGCUGUUAGGCAGAGGGCUGGGGCCCCAACACCAGCACAGGGCUCCCCAGGGGUAUCAGGCGAGAGCUGGAGCUGGAGCACGAAGGGAGUCUGUGAACUAGAAGCUGCAUCCCCACAAAGUCCUGCUGCUGCUUAGCCCCAUUCCUUGCCCUCUUCUUCUUUCUCUCCUGAUCCCUUGGUGCCUUUCCUACGGGAUCUCCACGCUGAUGUCUCCUCUUCUUUUCCGCUGCUUGGCUCUUUAAGACUCAGGCAGGUAAAAUAGUCCCCCCCACACACGGGGGGUGGGGGGCUUUGGAUCUGCCUCCCGGUCACCUGAGAGCAAGCCAGGAGGCAGGCCCUGGGAGCACCCAGCCCUCCUUAGAGAUGUCCUGCCCAAGCAGUCAUCUGCGUGUCCUCCCCACAUAGCGCCACAAAGCUGUACUGCCCAGUUUCCUGUACACAACUACAUGACUUCAUAUAGCUCAGUCUAUACCCCUGUGUGUGCCAAGAGAAGCUGUGUUUCUUUGUUACACACAUUUUUGUUUUAGGGGCCACUGACCGUGGGAGGUGAUGUGUUCCUUAGAUUCUGGGGUAACACAUGCAAGCCAUUACUCCUCGGAGCCCCAGAGGGUACUCAGAGGAGCUGUGCUUUGAGGCAGAGACGUUUCUCCGCUCUCCUUAGAAACGCACUCCCAGUCCAGCUUUAUGCUCUUUGUACUGGGAAAGUGGCAGUGAUUUGUUGCUUUAUUGGAGUCACUUCUUCCCCAAAGUAUGGGGAGCUUUAGCUCUUAAUUUGCUUUUGAGGUACCAUCCCCUUUGUCCUCCUUCUCCUCUUCUGUCUUUCCUUGACCUUCUGGAUUGAGAUGCAGACAGACACCAACCUAGGUUAGAGACGGGUGUUUGUCACCAGAGUGCCAAAAGGGACCGUUUAAGAGCAGGGACUUGGCUCUGACAGUCUGGGGCAUGGAGAUGGAGGACAGUAAGCACAAUGCCCAGGAGAGGCUGCUUUCCAAGCACCCCAGGGCCCUGCUCUAGAGAGGCUUGAGGUCUCUUGCCCAAGGGGAGCCCCUCUGACCUGCAGACCUUUCCUCUAGGUUUCCACGUCCUUGUUUUUGUUCAAGUUGGCUUUUGAGCCCUCCCCACAACCCAGUUUUAGACCUCUUAGCAGGCCCCAGGCAGCCCCUCCCACCCCAUCAUGCCUUCUGCCUCCUGCUGCCCCAGCAAGCAGUCCCCUGAGCAAUGACGUCCCCUUAACCCGUGGAAGCAGUUGGUGUGGACACCCUCACCCCACCUUACCCAAGUCACCCCCCUGGAAGGAUGGCUCUGAAUUUCAGCCUGACUGUGCCCUCCCAGGCUUCUGUGGGGUGCAGCCAAGGGCUCAUCUCUGUUCCUGUUUGCUUUUAAAUAUCGUUGUGUGUUUUGUAUCUGUGGCGCUGGCUUACAGCGUGCUCUGUACAUAUUGUGAAGAAACUGUUUGGAGUAAUUUUCUUUUCUGUUGGGCAGGCAUGGCCCCGCUUUCCCGCCCUUUCCACUUUGUUCUGUAACAGAGAAGAGGAAUUUCUGUAUUAGCGGGACCCUUGGGUUCUGCAGAAGGAAACUGCUUUUUCUUUUUUUCCUAUUUUCCCUUGAAAAACAUUUGGUUCUUUGAUCCUUAUAUCCAAGUCUCCCUUGAAAAGCAGGAGCUGAGCUGCCCAGAAGAGCAGGUGAAAGCAACAGUGGCAGAAUGGCACUGCCCUUUCCUGAUCCUCCUGGUCCCUGAUCCUUGCCAGGUCCAGUCCUCCCUCCCCGAAGUAACACGAAACAGCAGCAGUGAUGGAUCAAGGAGAGCUCCUUGAUGAGUGCUGAGUGUUACUCACCUCUAGGUCUCUGUACGUGGGGAGGAGGAACACGGCUGGGGCAUCUGUGGCACCGGUGCCCUGGUCAUAGGGAUGAGACCCUCAAGGAUUCCCACUUCACCCCAGAGAAGGCUGCUAAGGGCCACGACCACACCACGGCUCUCUCUGAGCCACCCCUGCUCAGUUCUCUUGACAGACAUUGCUUGUCCAGGCCCUCACAGAGGAGCUAGAAAGAAGCAGCCUCGUCCCCAAGUGGGAUAGCCAAGGCUUGGUGAGCUGCUCUUUAGGAUUCACAUCUGCUUCUUCCUCGUUUAAGGUGUGCCAGUUCCCUUUGUCCUCUUUCCCUGCCUGUACAUGUAUGUAUACAUGUAUGAUAUCUCCUUCUCUGACCUCACCCUCUCCACAUGUCUCAAGGUCAAAGGACCACAUGCAGAAGGGUUAAGGGGGCAACCCAUGAAAUGAAAUGAUCCUUCUUGAACCUCUUCUCUCCAGGCUCCACGGUGGGGGUUGGGGGGCCUAGUUGCAGGAGUGGGAGGGUUAAGACUAACGAAGGGCUAGAGAGCUAUUGCCUACAGGCUUCGAGGUCACCCACGCCACUUAUUAUCCCGUACACCCUUUCACCAUCUCAGUGUCUACUCUGAUGCCCCCAAGAUUCAACCGAGCAGCUAGCUGGCCCCAUAAUUCUGGGCCUUUGUUAUUUGUUUUACUAUUAGGGCCUCCCAGGAAGCUUUCUGAUGAUCCUCUGCCAUGGGCCCCUCCUGGGAUUGAGCCCCUCCCAGGCCCCGUCCCCAGCCCCUCCUGCCCCAGCCCACCCGCUUGCCUUGGUGCUCAGCCCCCCAUUGGGAGCAGGUUGGGGCGAGCUGGAGGCCCGGGCUGGAGGGGCAGUGUUGCUGUUCAUAGCUUUUGUUCCAUUGGCGUUGCUCUGUUGGAUUUAAUUUCAGUCUUCCUGAUUCUUCCCUUCUGUAAAGUGUACAUUACCAAGUUCCUUGUUUUUUUAUAUAUAUAUAUAAAUAUAUAUAUAUACAAACUGUACUCUUUUUGCCUUUGUACAUUCAGGCAAGAAGAGAAAAUAAAUCUUUUUAAGAGACAAUCACAAAUCUGUGAGGGCUGCUGGUUAUUUCUCCUGGAGUUUGCUGCUGAGCUGCCUCCUCUUCCCUCCCCACUUCUCCAUUCUCCCUCAGCUUUCCUGAUCUUCCUGGUCCUGCUCCAUAUGCAUCCUCAGCUCCACCUCCCCUGGCUGAUGGCAAGCUGUUGAAUCCAGUGUCCAGACUACCUGCCCUGCAGCGUUUUCCAGCCUGGCCUCGGGCUUACUCAGGAGCUUUAUCCUGUGCCCUGGCCUCUCCUGUCUUCCCUCUUAGAUCCCAUUCACCGAAGUGGCUUUCGACCCCUGGGUACUCUGGGACCUGUCUCCCAGAGGCCCUGGCUUUGGACACUACCUGUGAAACUAUGCAGCUGGGAGCUUUCUGCCUAAGAGUUUGCACUACUUCAAUCCGCCUGGGAGUUAGAACGGAUGGUUUUUAGGAAUGAGUGGGAAACUAGCCCCCAAAACUCCCCCAAAUGCCAGCCCCCAGACUAGCUCUGAUCCAGAGCCCAGAGAAUAUUCCUGGCUGGUGGACUCAUGGCUACCCCAUCAGAACAAGGGCUAAGGGUUUAUGGGUCAAGAGCAUUUGAUCAGAAUUUCAAAGGGUGGUACAUUCUGAAACACAGCCCGACCAAACCAUUGUUCCACCUCUUGAACUUUCUCCCUUUCCUCUAAUUUCCUUCCCCCUUUUUUCCCCUUUCUCUCUACUUCCUUUUCUUAAUUGGCUUUGGAAUUGAAGUAUAUUUUUAAAUUAUUUGUUGUAUUUAUUGAAUAAAGUUUUUAAUGUCCCUGUUCUUAAAUUUAGACUUAAUUUGCCUUUCACAUAUCUCCCCUAUCCUGUUCCACCCUCCCACUCCCAAAAUAUUUCACCUUCUACGUUGCUUUUUUAAUUGGAGUGCAAAUUUUGGGUGCCGUAUUGCUUUCCUGUCUUAUCUAGCAGAAGAUUUUUUUUUUCUUUUUGAAAUAUUAGCUGAGUGCCUGGGUUUCCCAUUCAGCCUUUCUAAAGAACCCCGGCUGUAUUCAAGAGGAUCCACCAGAAGGUGGCAGCAGAAUCUCAGGCAUGUUUCCUGUCCACCCUGCUAGCUUUGUUUUUCUUGGUUCUUUAUCCCUGUCUACAUUCCUUGAGUUUGAAUUUAACAUUUGAAUCCUAAACUGCUUAUAUUUUAACGUGGCCCUUGUCAGCAUUCACAUAGAUCUCUGUUGUAAAUAACUUACUGUAAUGACCAUUUUUCACUCACAGACUUUAUGCUGUCUCUAGGGGUUAUCUGCCCAGUGGACAAAAUCUUUUAAGCCCUUAUUUCAGAUCAAUGUCUCUAGGCCCAGACUCUACCAUUGAGGUGAAGAUGCUGAACUCACUUCUUUUAAUAAAUACCAGGUGGAGUCCUAGGUUAAUGUGAAAACCCAAGUAAGCACCACACAGAACAGUGUGAAAAUGAGCAAAAGGCUCAGAGAAAACUAAGAACAACCACAGCGCAACAGUAAGUUAAUAGCUCUAAAGCUGUAGGAGGUGGAAGAAUGUGCCCAGAACCUCAUUUAGGAAAAAUGGAAGCAAAAGGAAAAAAGUACUAGUAAACCCUUGAGAAAUUAAAAAGAGAUCACAGGUAAAGAGUAUUCUAUCCCCCUCCAAAAGGAGAAAACUAUCUUUCUAGGGAAGGUGCGUUUCGCUUCCUUCAAACCCCUCCAGGAAUGGGAAUGUCUGGCAGCUCCAUGUGAACACCAAGACCCAGUUUUAGGACCCAGCCUGCUAUACAAAAAACCUAAGAAUGGCUUGGAUUCUGGUAUAUAUAGAGUGUAUGCUGGAUGAAGCCAUGUGUACAUACCUGUCUCCAGAGGGCUGUGGCACUCUGUCCCAGACCCCUAAGCAACCCCAUGCUCUGCGGUGUAACGUGGCCCCCAGCACCUUGGCCGUUCAUCUGUCCUGAUGCACAGAUGCUUCUUUCCUGAGAAGCAUAUAUCACACCCCUUCUGGGUUGGGCUCUAGACUCAAAAGGACAGACCAACCACAACUUUAAAUCAGUUUAUUGACACAGUAACACAACACACUUGCCUCCCUGACACCCCCACCCCCCUGCGCCCACUCUAGAUCUCUCCUCUUCCUCCCCCCCUAGAGCAAGCUGUUCAGUGAAAAAGAGAGAAGGGCAAGUCACUUCUACACGCUCAGUCCCACACCUAAGCCCUGUGGAGCCUCUUAGGGAGGGACAGGGGCAGUGAGCACUAGAUAAGCAGAGGCAUCCAGUCCCUAAGAAUAGAUUCCCCCACAACCUCCAGGCCCUGAGUUGCUAUUCCUCUUCCUCUCUGCUCUUUGUGACCCUAGGAAGGAGGCACCUUGGGGCCUGGGCCUGCAGCCAAGAGCAAGAACUCCAGGCAGCAAUCUGAGAACUGGAGUUGGGCUAGUGUUUUUAAGGCCCAGGCACCCCCAAAAAAGCCCUGGUGGUGGGAGUGAACUUCAAUGCCCCUAUUUUAAAUGCACUGAUAACAUUAAACAGAUUAAGCCAGCUUAACCAAAUGCCAGAAUAACACUAAGCUAUAAGAGGGGUCAGACCUGCUUUCUCCAGGCCAGACACAAAUGCACAGAGAGAAGCCCAGGUGGAGUGUCAAAAAAACAAUGCAAGGACACUGCCCAGGGGCUGAAAAGCCUAUACUCAGGAGAUCCCAAGGUGACAGGAAGCAAGGAAAGAAAAUACACAAGCUUAAAAACCAAAAAAAAAAAAAAAAAAAAAAAAAAAAAA
This is a non-coding RNA of Sus scrofa (pig), 11438 nucleotides long. The record is from RefSeq and is a predicted model, not a curated record. Lineage: Eukaryota; Metazoa; Chordata; Mammalia; Artiodactyla; Suidae.